Molecule: ribosomal RNA, 671 nt
Filed under: uncultured bacterium
Lineage: Bacteria
Description: bacterial SSU rRNA
Rfam family: Bacterial small subunit ribosomal RNA
Source: RNAcentral
UCUNUGGGCUGUAACUGACGCUGAGAAGCGAAAGCAUGGGGAGCGAACAGGAUUAGAUACCCUGGUAGUCCAUGCCGUAAACGUUGGGCACUAGGUGUGGGGGACAUUCCACGUUUUCCGCGCCGUAGCUAACGCAUUAAGUGCCCCGCCUGGGGAGUACGGCCGCAAGGCUAAAACUCAAAGAAAUUGACGGGGGCCCGCACAAGCGGCGGAGCAUGCGGAUUAAUUCGAUGCAACGCGAAGAACCUUACCAAGGCUUGACAUAUACUGGACUGCGUCAGAGAUGGCGUUUCCCUUCGGGGCUGGUAUACAGGUGGUGCAUGGUUGUCGUCAGCUCGUGUCGUGAAAUGUUGGGUUAAGUCCCGCAACGAGCGCAACCCUCGUUCUAUGUUGCCAGCACGUGAUGGUGGGGACUCAUAGGAGACUGCCGGGGUCAACUCGGAGGAAGGUGGGGAUGACGUCAAAUCAUCAUGCCCCUUAUGUCUUGGGCUUCACGCAUGCUACAAUGGCCGGUACAGAGGGUUGCGAUACUGUGAGGUGGAGCUAAUCCCUAAAAGCCGGUCUCAGUUCGGAUUGGGGUCUGCAACUCGACCCCAUGAAGUCGGAGUCGCUAGUAAUCGCAGAUCAGCAACGCUGCGGUGAAUACGUUCCCGGGCCUUGUACACACCGCC